GAGAGGAGCCAGAGGGGUUGUAGAGGAAUUGUCUCAGAGAACAUGUCCAUGGGGCAAAAGCCCAGUCUCAUCAUGAGGAAAACAUACGCCAAAGCCUAAUUGAGGAACACUCUACAAAACACCUGAUCAGUAUUCCUCAAAGCUCUCAAGUCCAUCAAAAUCAAGGAAAGUCUGAGAAACUUGCAGACAAGAGGAACCUAAGGAGACACAACUACUAAAUGUAAUGUAUCCUCGAUGAGAACCUGGAACAGAAAAAAAGACAGUUACCAACAUCUGCAAUGGAUUCUUUUGAGUGUGACAUUCAGAGUACCUCAUUACAAAGUUAUGUUAAUG
This is a long non-coding RNA of Leptonychotes weddellii (Weddell seal), 333 nucleotides long. RefSeq lists it as uncharacterized. Lineage: Eukaryota; Metazoa; Chordata; Mammalia; Carnivora; Phocidae. The record is from RefSeq and is a predicted model, not a curated record.